This 279-nucleotide ribosomal RNA is filed under the name uncultured bacterium. Its description in RNAcentral is "partial 16S ribosomal RNA". It matches the Rfam family "Bacterial small subunit ribosomal RNA", at positions 506 to 784 of the family's 1533-position model. The record is from RNAcentral.
UGCCAGCAGCCGCGGUAAUACGUAGGGGGCAAGCGUUAUCCGGAUUUACUGGGUGUAAAGGGAGCGUAGACGGCUGUGCAAGUCUGAUGUGAAAGGCGGGGGCUCAACCCCUGGACUGCAUUGGAAACUGUAUAGCUUGAGUGCCGGAGAGGUAAGCGGAAUUCCUAGUGUAGCGGUGAAAUGCGUAGAUAUUAGGAGGAACACCAGUGGCGAAGGCGGCUUACUGGACGGUAACUGACAUUGAGGCUCGAAAGCGUGGGGAGCAAACAGGAUUAGAUA